Molecule: ribosomal RNA, 492 nt
Filed under: uncultured bacterium
Lineage: Bacteria
Description: partial 16S ribosomal RNA
Rfam family: Bacterial small subunit ribosomal RNA
Source: RNAcentral
AGUGAACGCUGGCGGUAGGCCUAACACAUGCAAGUCGAACGGCAGCACAGUAAGAGCUUGCUCUUACGGGUGUCGAGUGGCGGACGGGUGAGGAAUACAUCGGAAUCUACUUUUUCGUGGGGGAUAACGUAGGGAAACUUACGCUAAUACCGCAUACGACCUACGGGUGAAAGCAGGGGAUCUUCGGACCUUGCGCGAUUGAAUGAGCCGAUGUCGGAUUAGCUAGUUGGCGGGGUAAAGGCCCACCAAGGCGACGAUCCGUAGCUGGUCUGAGAGGAUGAUCAGACACACUGGAACUGAGACACGGUCCAGACUCCUACGGGAGGCAGCAGUGGGGAAUAUUGGACAAUGGGCGCAAGCCUGAUCCAGCCAUACCGCGUGGGUGAAGAAGGCCUUCGGGUUGUAAAGCCCUUUUGUUGGGAAAGAAAAGCAGCAGGUUAAUACCCCGCUGUUCUGACGGUACCCAAAGAAUAAGCACCGGCUAACUUCGUG